ACGGGCACUACGGUGCUGAAGUGGUUAAUGCCCUGCUUCCAGGAAAAGCCUCUAAGCUCUAGAUAACACUGAAUCGUACCCCAAACCGACACAGGUGGUCAGGUAGAGAAUACCAAGGCGCUUGAGAGAACUCGGGUGAAGGAACUAGGCAAAAUGGUGCCGUAACUUCGGGAGAAGCACGCUGGCAUGUAGGUGAAGUCCCUCGCGGAUGGAGCCGAAGCCAGUCGAAGAUACAGCUGGCUGCAACUGUUUAAUAAAAACACAGCACUCUGCAAACACGAAAGUGGACGUAUAGGGGUGUGACGCCUGCCCGGUGCUGGAAGGUUAAUUGAUGGGUCAGCCGCAAGGCGAAGCUCUUGAUCGAAGCCCCAGUAAACGGCGGCCGUAACUAUAACGGUCCUAAGGUAGCGAAAUUCCUUGUCGGGUAAGUUCCGACCUGCACGAAUGGCGUAAUGAUGGCCAGGCUGUCUCCACCCGAGACUCAGUGAAAUUGAACUCGCUGUGAAGAUGCAGUGUACCCGCGGCAAGACGGAAAGACCCCGUGAACCUUUACUAUAGCUUGACACUGAACAUUGAACCUUGAUGUGUAGGAUAGGUGGGAGGCUUUGAAGUGUGGACGCCAGUCUGCAUGGAGCCGACCUUGAAAUACCACCCUUUAAUGUUUGAUGUUCUAACCUGGUCCCGUGAUCCGGGAUAGGGACAGUGUCUGGUGGGUAGUUUGACUGGGGCGGUCUCCUCCCAAAGCGUAACGGAGGAGCACGAAGGUUAGCUAAUCCUGGUCGGACAUCAGGAGGUUAGUGCAAAGGCAUAAGCUAGCUUGACUGCGAGAGUGACGGCUCGAGCAGGUGCGAAAGCAGGUCUUAGUGAUCCGGUGGUUCUGAAUGGAAGGGCCAUCGCUCAACGGAUAAAAGGUACUCCGGGGAUAACAGGCUGAUACCGCCCAAGAGUUCAUAUCGACGGCGGUGUUUGGCACCUCGAUGUCGGCUCAUCACAUCCUGGGGCUGAAGUAGGUCCCAAGGGUAUGGCUGUUCGCCAUUUAAAGUGGUACGCGAGCUGGGUUUAGAACGUCGUGAGACAGUUCGGUCCCUAUCUGCCGUGGGCGUUGGAAGAUUGAGAGGGGCUGCUCCUAGUACGAGAGGACCGGAGUGGACGCACCGCUGGUGUUCGGGUUGUGAUGCCAAUUGCAUUGCCCGGUAGCUACGUGCGGAAGAGAUAAGCGCUGAAAGCAUCUAAGCGCGAAACUUGCCUCGAGAUGAGUCUUCCCUUGGACCUUGAGUCCACUGAAGGAACGUUUAAGACUAAGACGUUGAUAGGCUGGGUGUGUAAGCGUAGCGAUACGUUGAGCUAACCAGUACUAAUGAUCCGUGAGGCUUAACC
This 1377-nucleotide ribosomal RNA is filed under the name Edwardsiella tarda. Its description in RNAcentral is "bacterial LSU rRNA". It matches the Rfam family "Bacterial large subunit ribosomal RNA", at positions 1570 to 2925 of the family's 2925-position model. Lineage: Bacteria; Pseudomonadati; Pseudomonadota; Gammaproteobacteria; Enterobacterales; Hafniaceae. The record is from RNAcentral.